This 67-nucleotide transfer RNA is filed under the name Bathymodiolus thermophilus. Its description in RNAcentral is "tRNA-Leu". Lineage: Eukaryota; Metazoa; Mollusca; Bivalvia; Mytilida; Modiolidae. The record is from RNAcentral.
GGAUAGCUGACAGAAAUAAUGUGUUUAGUUUAGGUCUAAAAAAUGGGCCAUUACAGCUCGCUAUCUU